Molecule: long non-coding RNA, 235 nt
Filed under: Cricetulus griseus (Chinese hamster)
Lineage: Eukaryota; Metazoa; Chordata; Mammalia; Rodentia; Cricetidae
Description: lncRNA (ENSCGRG00000025897.1)
Source: RNAcentral
UGGCCGAGGGGUCGUCCCACCCUCCGGCCACCGCCUGGACACCCUGAGCUCAACUCAUCACCAAGUUCCUCCCAAGUUGCUUUAAAACCUCUCGACGCUUCUCCGCCUCAACUCUCCCUCCACCACAGGUCAGACAAUCCCCAACGUGGUUGCUUAUCAGAAUUCCUGGAGUGCUUCUGAAAAACAGUAAGUGCAGAUUUAUUUAUGUCUUGGUGGAUUAAAAUAUGGCUUGAAU